Molecule: long non-coding RNA, 223 nt
Filed under: Elaeis guineensis (African oil palm)
Lineage: Eukaryota; Viridiplantae; Streptophyta; Magnoliopsida; Arecales; Arecaceae
Description: long non-coding RNA (EGUI_LNC001447)
Source: RNAcentral
GAUAAAGUGUAGAAUGCCUUUGAUCGGCGAAGCAAUAGGCAUACCGUCAGUUUCAACAUUAAAUGCACCAUAGCAAGAUAAAGACGGUGUCCGCACAGGUUUCAAAAUGAGCUUAUGAUUAUAUCAUCGCCAUCUUCGCCUGAAAAAUCGCACGCAAACAUCUGUUGAAAAACUCUUGAUAUCCUCUGCCAUUUAAACGCCAAAUGAGUACUCUCAUUACCCG